RNAcentral lists this transfer RNA (73 nucleotides) under subsurface metagenome. RNAcentral's name for it is "tRNA-Glu". It matches the Rfam family "tRNA". From Rfam's summary of the family: Transfer RNA (tRNA) molecules are approximately 80 nucleotides in length. The record is from RNAcentral.
GGCCCGUUCGUCUAGUGGUCAGGACUCCAGGUUUUCGACCUGGCAACAGGAGUUCGAUUCUCCUACGGGCUAC